Molecule: long non-coding RNA, 965 nt
Organism: Myotis myotis
Lineage: Eukaryota; Metazoa; Chordata; Mammalia; Chiroptera; Vespertilionidae
Exons: 2
Source: RefSeq, a predicted model, not a curated record
CCUACUGAAGCUAAUCCUAUACAUGGACUAUGACUUAACCAUUCCACUCAGGGGUAUGAAGUCAAAAUAAAUGAAAAUACAGAUUCAUCCGCGGACAUGGACAAAAAUGCUCAUAGAAGCUUUACUCGUGACAGCCCCCGUCUGGAAAGAAGCCACGCGUUGAGAAACUGUUACGCGCAUGCAGUGGCAUAGUACUCAGCAAUGAAAAAGAACGACGGACACACCCAACAACAGGCUCCCGACACAAGCUGGAGCGAAAGAAGCAAGACACGCGCAUAGUUGUAUGAAGCUCAAAGGCGGGCAACCCUGUGGCCACAGAAGUCAGCUUGGGUGACAUGUGCUGCAGUGGAGGUCACACGAGGCAUCAUGGGAGCCCCCAGAAGGCAAAUGAGAGCCUCAUGGACCAGAAGAACAACGUCCCUGGGCGUGACACCAGUGGAACCGGACAGAGUGACAGAGGAGAAGAGAGGGGAGGGCUGGUGUGAGCUCAGGGAACUCUGGGGGACUCCACCUGGCAGAGGGGUGCAGAUGGAGAGAUGUGAGGCUCAGGAGAGGGACGGGGCCACACCCCCGGGGGCCCCAAUACAGGCUGAGGGCCUCGAGCUCUGUCCCCAGGGCUCUGGGAGCCACAGGAGGGCUGUGUGCAGGAGAGGGGCCGGGUCACCUCUGGGGACAGAAAGACCCUCGGGACCCGUGGGGGAUGGGCCGGGGUGGGCGGGGCCCUGGAGGCUGGGAGGCCAGGGAAGAGGCUGUGGGAAGAGGACGGGGCCUAAGGUGGGGCGCGGGGACGCAGAUCCCUGGAUCAGAUUCCUCCGGGGGCCGCUCACCCUUCCACUCCAGGUUGCUGCGGCCGGUCUCCAGGUGGCCCAGCAGCCGCUGGGGGCAGGAGGUCAGCAGGAAGUGCCCCUCCUGCCACACGGCGUCCUCGUGCUGCUUCCACUUCUGACUGAUGGCCCGCGCCUCGG